This 65-nucleotide transfer RNA is filed under the name Hydatigera taeniaeformis. RNAcentral describes it as "tRNA-Tyr". The record is from RNAcentral. Lineage: Eukaryota; Metazoa; Platyhelminthes; Cestoda; Cyclophyllidea; Taeniidae.
UCUAGCUUAACAUAUUUAAUGUGGAGGGUUGUAAACUCUUUUAAGGUUUAUACCAGUUAGGAUUA